UCCCUGGUGGCUCAGAAGUUAGAGUCCACUUGCAAUGCAGGAGAUCUGGGUUCGAUCCCUGGUUAGGGAA
This 70-nucleotide transfer RNA is filed under the name Bos taurus (domestic cattle). It matches the Rfam family "tRNA". From Rfam's summary of the family: Transfer RNA (tRNA) molecules are approximately 80 nucleotides in length. Their secondary structure includes four short double-helical elements and three loops (D, anti-codon, and T loops). The record is from Rfam by way of RNAcentral. Lineage: Eukaryota; Metazoa; Chordata; Mammalia; Artiodactyla; Bovidae. RNAcentral also lists the same sequence under 2 other names.